RNAcentral lists this ribosomal RNA (228 nucleotides) under Escherichia coli. RNAcentral describes it as "partial 23S ribosomal RNA". It matches the Rfam family "Bacterial large subunit ribosomal RNA", at positions 2715 to 2925 of the family's 2925-position model. RNAcentral also lists the same sequence under 4 other names. Lineage: Bacteria; Pseudomonadati; Pseudomonadota; Gammaproteobacteria; Enterobacterales; Enterobacteriaceae. The record is from RNAcentral.
UUCGGGUUGUCAUGCCAAUGGCACUGCCCGGUAGCUAAAUGCGGAAGAGAUAAGUGCUGAAAGCAUCUAAGCACGAAACUUGCCCCGAGAUGAGUUCUCCCUGAGACUUAGAGUCUCCUGAAGGAACGUUGAAGACGACGACGUUGAUAGGCCGGGUGUGUAAGCGCAGCGAUGCGUUGAGCUAACCGGUACUAAUGAACCGUGAGGCUUAACCUUACAACGCCGAAG